This 472-nucleotide ribosomal RNA is filed under the name uncultured Syntrophus sp. RNAcentral describes it as "bacterial SSU rRNA". It matches the Rfam family "Bacterial small subunit ribosomal RNA", at positions 910 to 1382 of the family's 1533-position model. Lineage: Bacteria; Pseudomonadati; Thermodesulfobacteriota; Syntrophia; Syntrophales; Syntrophaceae. The record is from RNAcentral.
UUGACGGGGCCCGCACAAGCGGUGGAGCAUGUGGUUUAAUUCGAUGCAACGCGAAGAACCUUACCUGGGCUUGACAUCCACGGGAACCUGCUGGAAACAGUGGGGUGCCUUUCGGGAGCCGUGAGACAGGUGCUGCAUGGCUGUCGUCAGCUCGUGUCGUGAGAUGUUGGGUUAAGUCCCGCAACGAGCGCAACCCUUGUCUUUAAUUGCCAUCAUUCAGUUGGGCACUUUAAAGAGACUGUCGGUGUUAAACCGGAGGAAGGUGGGGAUGACGUCAAGUCCUCAUGGCCUUUAUGCCCAGGGCUACACACGUGCUACAAUGGGUGGUACAAAGGGUCGCCAAGCCGCGAGGUGGAGCUAAUCCCGAAAAACCUCUCGUAGUCCGGAUUGGAGUCUGCAACUCGACUCCAUGAAGUCGGAAUCGCUAGUAAUCGUGGAUCAGAACGCCACGGUGAAUACGUUCCCGGGCCUU